AGGCGUACAGCACCAGCCGGCAGCCACCAGCACGGCACCAGCUGACCAGCAGAUAAACAGGCGUAGUGCAGUACAGCACCAGCACACGGCAGCACUCCAGGAAGGCAGGAACCGAACCAAGAUUAUUACACACAGCGGCAACAACAGUAGAUAAACAGCAGUACAACACCAACACGGCAGCACUCCAGUAGACCAGUAGACAACAAUUUCAGUUUGAGUUUGCACUUUGCAGUCAGCUGAGUCCUUGACACUUUGAGAGCACACGCCUGGCAGCCUGCAAUCUCCUGCAGUCCUGCUUAACAAUAUGGCAAUAUCAAUACACUUAUACACCAUCCAACUAUGUGAAAUAAAUUCCCAUACCAUUAUCAAGAUUCAAUAGUAGUCCCCUCCUUCGAAAUGGUAAGGCCACCAAUAUCUGUACAGUUGCAUUCUCAAUAAGUACAUAAAAUAUGUUUGAUUAAAUAUAUUCAGAACUAGUUUUAUAGUUUGUACCUUCCUCAAGCUUAGCCAUUUCUUCGGUAUUCUCUUCAACAUUAAUAAUGUUGGAUCCACGAAUCCAAUCAUUGGCACAAAUCAAGCACAUAAGAAUGUGAGGUUGGUUUACAAAUAUAUUCUCAAAUAUAUUCUCUUCGGUAUAAAUAUAUUCUCUUCAACAUUAAUAAUCAUUGGAUCCACGAAUCCAAUCAUUGGCACAAAUAUAUUCUCUUCGGUAUUCUCCCCCCAAUAUUUAUAAUAUUUUGCAAUCAUUCUCUUGCCCAUUUCAGCACAUAAGUUGUCUUCGCUACGACACCACUCUCGCAAUAAAACUAAAACAUCAGCAAUCUCGUGGAAGUAAGAAUGUGAGGUUGGUUUACUUGUGACUGAAACACGAAGGGUAAGUUCAUAGAAGUGCUCUAGGAAUUCAGCCAUUUUUCUUGCCUUUUCGUUCCCAAUCUGAUUUCUCAGGAACACCAAGGCCAUUUUCACCUUCUAAAUCUAGCCUAUAGUAUGGAUCUUCAUCACUAUACCUUUCAAAUGCCUUUUCAUAUUGUUGUGCAAUAUUUAGCAUAAGGUAUGUUGAAUUCCACCUAGUGCAAACAUCAAGGGUUAAAAAUGCUUUGGUCUGUACUUUUGCUAAUUCAGCACAUUUCUUAAAUUUGACUAGCCUAGAUGGUCCAGCCUUGACAAACUUAACAGCUGCCCGGACACGACUAAUUGAUUUGUCUAUUUCCUUUAGUCCAUCGGUGACUAUCAAAUUAAUAAUAUGGGCAACACAUCUCAUGUGCAGGUAUUCUCCUCCAGCAAUGCAACCUUUUGAUUCAUUCAAAACCCUCUUCAUGUACUUAAUUGCAUUAUUGUUUGCACUAGCAUUAUCAACUGUUAUUGUCAAAACCUUAUCAAUUCCCCAUUCUGCUAGGCAACUCUCUAAGGAUUUUCCAAUGUCUUCGCCCCUAUGUCCUUUUACCAAGAAAAAACCAAUGAUUUUCUUGUGGAGCUUCCAUUGGUUAUCAAUAAAAUGUGCCGUUACACACAUGUAAUUUUGGUUGGUAUUAGAUGUCCAUGUGUCAGUGGUGAGGCUUACGCGCUGACAAUGUUCACCUAAAAACUUCUUAAGCUUCUCUUUUUGGACAUCAUAUACUUUCACAACUGCUCUAGUAGCUGUUCUUCUAGAGGGCAAAAUGAAACGUGGGCAUGCUUUGGCCAAAAAUUUUCUAAGCCCGGGACGCUCAGGCAAAACAAAAGGUUGUUCAUCUUCAAUAAUCAUUUCAGCAAAACUAUUCCUUAGAUCAUCAGCAUCGAAUUUCCAAGUUGAAACAGUACCAACACUACUGUUUUCUUGACUAGGUUGCAAUUGCAAAGUUCCUUGAUUAUCAACUACCUUUUUGUUUGGAUUCUUUUUGCAUAUUUUCAAAUGAGAUUUCAUGGAGGACGUACCAUUUAUUUUUGGGCCACAGCGAAACAAUUUUGCACAAUACUUGCACUUGACUCUUUCAUCCCCAUUAUCAAGUUUAACCUUGCUGAAGUGCUCCCAUGCAUCAGAUCUUUGAGCAAUAGCUUUCCUUUUCUUGCACUCUCCAUCCUUCUCUACAUCUACCACCUCAGUGACUUGGUUUGCAACAGUUUCACCAGUGACUUGGUUUGCAAUGGUUUCAUUAGUGUCCCCCAUCUAUACAUUAAUACACGACAAAAAAAAUCAAAAUAAAUUGGUAACGGCAAAAAAUGGGUGAGAAGAAGACAUACAUUGGAGGAACACUCCGUUCUGGCCGCCGUCGCCGUGUGCUAGAGAAACGCCGCCUCUGUCUUGAAUCUUGAUGCCGGACGCGCGCUUGAGCUUGACGGUGCCGUGCUGCAGAUGCUUGUGUGGCGUGCUGCAGCUUGCGUGGCGUGCUGCAGAUGCUUGACGGUGCCGGUCUGCCGGACGCGCGCUUGAGCAGUUGAGCAGCUGAAGUGCAGAUGCAGAGAUCACCUUGAGCUAGACGGCGUGCUGCUGAAGUGCAGAUGCAGAGAUGCUUGCAGAUGCUUGCCGGGCGCGUAAUCCACUUGCCUGGGUGGCUGCUGGUGGUGUCGUGGUGCCGUGGUGGAGAACAGGAGAAGCGCUGUGCGCCCGUGCCGGCGUGUCGCCGUCCGCCGCCGCAGCCCACAGCCUACUGCCUUUCGCCCUUUCUGACUCUAGCGUCUCGGUGUCUCCUAGGGGCUAGGGUUGGCCCUUGGCCGGUUGCCGUCGAUUACUAGUGCAAAUAGACAGGCUUCGGUUGGUGGCUUACAUGGGCUGUGGAGAGAACAAUAUUCAGAUGGUGGGCUGGCUGCCUGGCUUAGUGGCUUACAUGGGCUGUUCGGUUUGCUCGGUAUUUCGGUUCGGUACAGUACAAAAACCGAUUACAAUACCGUGUACCGAACUUCACAGUUUUAAAAACCGAAACCGAACCGAAAUACCAAAAAAACCGAAAUUUCGGUACGAUUCGGUUCGGUUCGGUACGGUUUUUGGUAUAUGGUAAAAAUGUGCCCAGCCCUAGAGGUAACGCCGAGUGACUGGAGGGCUGCGUGGGCCACUUUGAGGAUAAUAGCCGAGUGAUGAUGUGGCGCAGCAGUGUUCUGGAAAUAACUGCCGGGUGAUCACAUGGCACGCUGGUGUUUUGGAAAUAACCGCCGGGUGCUGACUGGACGCUUUUUGAAACGGUAUCUGGCUCAGGAAUAUCCCAUAAGUGCUGUGCUUUUAGCCGCCUCUGCUUUCCGUGCCCUAGUUCUUGCUUUCUCGCUUCCGAAUCCUCUCUGUAAUUCGCCUCCCACUCUGCUCGCCGGUAGAAUCGAGAUGGCGCCCAAGAGGAAAGCCUCGAGUUCGUCUACCGUGGUGAUUCGUCCAAUCGACCCCAACAGCCAGUUGCCUUUCGCAGGUAACCACAUGUCCGUCAUCUCUGAGCCCGAACUUCUCCACCUCAUGUCCAUCGGGGUUCUUCCUCCACGGGAACUCUGUUCUUGGCGGAUUUGCCAUGGGGUUACUGUCCCAACUGAGGAUACCCAUGAGUCCGUUGUUUAUGCUCCUUUCCUUCUCCGCGGCCUUGACCUUCCCAUUUCUCCCUUUUUCCGCGGCCUCCUUGAUUUCUACCAUCUUAACUUGACUCAUCUGAAUCCCAAUUCUAUCCUGCAAAUCUCCAUUUUCGUUCAUUUAUGUGAGGCCUUUCUUGGCGUGCUGCCACAUUUCGGGUUGUGGAAGUACUUGUAUCACUAUCGCCCUGGGAUGGCCGGGGGACAACAUCAGUUGGUUGGGGGUGCCAGCUUGGAGAUGCACCGCGGGAGGAAAACUGAGUAUCUCGAAAUCCUUCUCAAAGACAGUAUCGAGGGAUGGCGCUUGGAGUGGUUCAUAGUUGAGAAUUAUGGAAAUUCUCUCCCCCCCCCCCGGUCGGGAAGACAGCCGGAUGUUCGCACCCCAAGCUGGACCGAGUCUCCCACAGAUCAGGAGGUAGCUGAGGCAGGUGCGUUGCUAGCUGAAGUUGGAUUGCUGAAAGAGAAGGGUCUGACUGCUGAAGCUGUGGUUGCUGAUUUUGUCUUCAAGAAUAUUCAGCCGUUGAAAGACAGGGCGUACCCAGCUUAUCUGUAUCGAGGUCUAGCCGACUCAACUCGGGUUACCAACAGAAGAAUUCCCUCUGCAGACUUGGUGAGCCGACUUGAGAUGAUCCUUAGAGGCAAAGUGUCAAAUGUUGGUGCCCCAGUGGCAUACUCGGCCUGGAACCUGCCUCCUCCUAAAGCCUUCACCCUUUUUGUGUCGAAUCCACCUGUCACUGAUGGCGGUUUGGGCCUUAGAGUGCGGCCCUCUGCUAAAGAAGUUAGUGCCUUGGUUGCCUCGCUCGGGGAGAUUCCUGAUGAUGAACGGCAGGUCCAUUUUGAGGUGCCCCUCAAUCCUAGUGAUGCAGAGAUAAGCGCCAUGCUUGACUUGCUGGCUGAGAACUCUUCUGACGCUGCUCCUGCUGGGGCAUUGGUAGUGGCGCCCCUCCCAGAGGCUGAUACAACCUUGGAUACUCAGAAGCCUGCCAGUACUCGCCCGAGGCGCCCUUGCCGAGCCAGUCAACCUGAUCCUUCUGCUGAUGAGCAGAAAAAGAAAAAGGGACGCCUCCGGCGAGUAUCCAGUUUGGAUCGGGACAUUGGUACCUCGGUUCCUGCUGCUGAAGAAGUGUCUGUGACUGAAUUUACUGACGCUGACCCCAAUGGGUGUACCCAGUCUGUUGCUGAUCCCAAUGUGAGUGUUCCAUCUGUUGCUGAUCCCAAUGGGGGUGCUGCCUGUGUUGCUAAUGUGGACGACGAGGAGGAAGAAGAUGAAGUUCCUUUGACUCGGAAAAACAGUCGGCAGUUCAUCGCUAGCGGUGAAAGUAGUGGGGUUCCCUCUCCUACUUUGUCUGCUCUCAUUGGUCUGCAAGAACUGUCCCUGGCCAACUUUGAUCAGACUCUUGAGGAUAUGGUUCCAGAGGAUUUGUUAUCGGAGCCAGUGGAUGAUGGCGUGAUGGAGGUUUGUGUUGAUGUGCUUGAUGCUGGGUUGAGAUCAUCCCGUGCCUCGUCGACCUUGGAGCGCGAUCUCGAGGGUCGGGAGACUGACUUGGAUCAUCCUGGUCCCAUGGAAGUAACUGAGGGCCCCUCAGCCUUAGAAGUGGCUACCGCAGAGAACUUGGACCCCAAGGAUGGUGUUGACACAUGCCCAUCCCCCGAGGUUGUCGCCAGGGAUGACUUGGUUCGGGUGGGAAGUGUAAGCCACUGCCCAGCCCCCGAGGGUGCUGCCGGGGAUGAUCCGGCUCAAGUGGGCAGUGCAAACUAUGACCCAGCCCCCGAGGGUGUCCGAGCGGGGUCUCCCUCCUGUACUUCCAUGGACGUUCAUGCGGGAUCGCCUCCACACUCCGGAUGUAUGGUGGUAGCCCAAGCCUUGGACCAGGGAGUCGCUUUAGAGGGUAGCGUCCCCGCUGACCGAGUGUUGGGCCCUGUUGAUGGCACCGAGCUGAUUCCUGCUGGUUUGUUGCAAGCUGCUUCGAGUGGUGGCCUUACGCCUGGUUAUCAAUUGAUCUCUCCUGAUUUGGGGAUCCCUUCGUUCUUUUCCAACCUCCAGGUACUGUGAUGUAUUUUAGCUUGGUUUUUACAUUGCAUGAACUGCUGUCGUUGCACUCAUCUGUUCUUCUCAUCAGGCUUUGGUGGAUGGGAUGGCUAGCCAGCUGAGGUUACAGGGUGCUUUUGUCCCAGAAGUAGCUUCGUCUCUUGCAUGUUGGAAUCCAGUGUCACUUCAACAUCGUGUCUCUGAAUUGGAGGCAACCAACGCUGGUUAGUGCUUUUUUUUGCUUCUCUAUGUCUUCACUGUGGACUGCUUUACAUUCUGACCCCUUUUUGUUUGAUUGUCUCCUGGUAGGAAUGACUCGGCAGAUUUCCACUCUUGAGGAAAAACAUUCCCGAGAUCAGGCUGAAUUGGUCCAACGGUGCACUGACUUUGAGGAAAAGUACUCUCGAAGCCAGAUUGAACUGGGUCAGGUCUCCGCUGCCUUAGAUGACGCCAAUGCACUGAGUUCUUCUCUUCACGCUCAACUCAAUUCUGAAAAGGUGAUUUAUGGAACUGUGCUUUGCCUUGUUGUGCUCCUAUUACUUGCUUGGUGUUUGAGGGAGUUGACUUUUGUUUGCAGGAAGAAAAACGUAUCCUCGCUGCUUCUCGCGACAGUCUUGACAGAUUGUAUCGUGAUUCUAGCAACUCGCUGACUAUCCUGGAGAGGAGUCAUCGCUUUACCAUGGAAGAGUUAGACAACCAACGCUGUAAGCUGCAGGAAUCCACGGAUGAGGUGACCCGGCUCAAGCAGUUGAUAUCAGCGAAGGACGCUACUAUCAAAGAGCUUCGGGCUUCCAAGAAAUCCAUCGCCCAAGAGUUAGAAACCGCUCGGCUGGCUGCCAAGGUUGCCGAAGAAACUUCUGUUACUCUCAGAGCCCAGCGCGACAGAGCCAUGGACAAGGCUAUUCGGGCGGGGCGAAUCUUGAUGAGGAGACCCGGCGUGGUUGUUCCCGAAGAUAUAAGGGCUGAUGUGAAUGCUGCCCCUGAUUCCUCGAGUCGUCCUUCCUCAUCGACUGCUCCUGAGAAAAAUAUCACCAAGUAGAGAAACAUUUUGCGUGCUUUGAGCGCGCGGUUAGCAUGGUCAGACAUUUGUUAGAGGACGCCAUUUCAGUAUUUAAACGACAUUGUUAUUUUCAUAUUGUUUCAGAAUUCAUUAGUUCGUAAAUUUGCAGUGGUAAAAUGAUGCGCGAUGGUUAUGAAAUUUGUUUGCGGGAUAUAGAAGUCAUCCUUAUAUGAGUAAUUGUAAUCACGUCAGGUCGCCUUAAGUCGCUGCUGACUUAAGUCGAUUGCUUUUGUUAAUAGGGCGUAGUGGUCACCCUGAAUUGCGUAGGCGUGAGCAUGUUGCACCGCCUUAAGUCGUUGUCGACUUAAGCCGAUUGCUCCGUUAGCAGGGCAUAGUGGUCACCCCGAGAUAAGUAAGCGCGAGCAUGUUGCACCGCCUUAAGUCGUUGCCGACUUAAGCCGAUUGCUCCGUUAGCAGGGCAUAGUGGUCACCCCGAGUUAAGUAAGCGCGAGCAUGUUGCACCGCCUUAAGUCGUUGCCGACUUAAGCCGAUUGCUCCGUUAGCAGGGCAUAGUGGUCAUCCCGAGUUAAGUAAGCGCGAGCAUGUUGCACCGCCUUAAGUCGUUGCCGACUUAAGCCGAUUGCUCCGUUAGCAGGGCAUAGUGGUCACCCCGAGUUAAGUAAGCGCGAGCAUGUUGCACCGCCUUAAGUCGUUGCCGACUUAAGCCGAUUGCUCCGUUAGCAGGGCAUAGUCGUCACCCCAAGUUAAGUAAGCGCGAGCAUGUUGCACCGCCUUAAGUCGUUGCCAACUUAAGCCGAUUGCUCCGUUAGCAGGGCAUAGUGGUCACCCCGAGUUAAGUAAGAAUGCAAGUCAAUCGUGGACAAACUGAGUAUCUUUGAAACCCCUUUUUUAUUGAUGACAUAUUUCCAUUUUACAGAGUACAUCGUCGUCCCGGUAGCUUUUGAAAUACAGCUAGGGAUAAAACUUUCUGAGGUGUUCUAUGUUCCAGGAGUUCCCGACUUCUGUGCCAUCCAUCUGAGUGAGACGGUAUGAUCCGGGCCGAGUGACUUCUGCUACUAUGAAGGGUCCUUCCCAUAAGGGCGAUAACUUGUGUCGUCCUUCCCCCGUUAGAAUUCGGAGGAGGACGAGAUCUCCUACUGAGAAGGAUCGCUGUCGCACAGCCUUGUCGUGAUAGCGCCUUAGAGUCUGCUGGUACCGUGACGAUUGAAUUACCGCAUUCAGCCGUUCUUCUUCAAGUAUAUCAAUGUCCUCCAGCCUGGUGGCCUCGGCUUCUGCUAUGUUUUCGAAGAUCAACCUUGGCGCCCCGAACUUGAGAUCGGUGGGUAGCACUGCCUCCGACCCAUAGACCAUGAAGAAAGGAGUGUUUCCAUGCAGAGCUCGGAUAGGUUGGGUUCUUAGGCUCCAAAUGACAUAAGGCAAUUCCCUUAUCCACUUUCCUGCGAAUUUUUCAUUCUUAUCGAAGACCUUUUUCCUGAGUGCCUCCAGUAUCAUCCCGUUGGCUCGCUCAACCUGCCCGUUGGCUCUUGGAUGUGCUACAGAUGCGUACUUGAUCUGAAUGCUUUUUUGCUCGCAGAAGUCGAAGAACUCUGAACUUGUGAAGUUGGAUCCUAGGUUAGUUAUGAUGCUGUUUGGUAUCCCGAAUCUGAAUAUUAUGUCUUGUAUGAAUUUCACGGCCUUAGUAGAGGUUAAAGAAGCAAUGGGCUUGAACUCUAUCCAUUUAGUGAAUUUGUCGAUUGCUACCAAUACAUGAGUGCAUCCUCCUUGAGCUUUCUUGAAAGGUCCAAUCAUAUCCAGUCCCCAGCAUGCGAAAGGCCAAGUUACUGGUAUGGUCUGUAGUUGCUGUGCUGGCAGAUGUUGUUGUUUUGACAAGUAUUGGCAAGCUUCGCACCUCUGAACUAACUCGGCUGCAUCACUCUUCGCUGUUGGCCAAUAGAAUCCUGACCUGAAGACCUUCCCGACUAGUGUUCUGGAUGCUGCAUGUAUUCCACAUUGCCCAGCAUGGACCUCCUCCAGAAGCCGCUUCCCAGUAGAUGAGAGAAUGCACUUCAUGAGGAUGCCUGAUGCACCUCUUCUGUACAAUGUCUCCCCAAUGAGUGUGUAGUGAGCCGAUUGUCUGGCAAGGCGCUCGGCUGAAUUCUUGUCAUCUGGUUCCUCUUCAUUCUUUAUAUACUUGAUGAUUGGCCUUCUCCAGUCAUCAGAGUCUGACUCGGGUUGAUCUAUAAUAUUACACUCUUCUGUUUGAUCCAUUGAGAUGCUCGGCUAUAGUACUUCUUGCACAAAGACUCCAGGUGGGACCUGAGUUCGACUGGAUCCUAGCUUGGACAAUACAUUGGCUGUUGUGUUCCGAUCUCUUUCUACAUGAUGAAAUUUCAGACCCUCGAAUUUAUCUUCCAGCUUUCGGACGACAGUGCAGUAUUUUCCCAUUGAAUCACUUGAACAAUCCCACUCUUUGUUUAUCUGGCUAAUGACUACCAGAGAGUCUCCGUACACCAUCAAUCUCUUGAUGCCCAAUGAUAUGGUGAUGUUCAAUCCAUGGAUCAAAGCUUCAUACUCGGCUGCAUUGUUGGAGGCCGGAAAUAGCAACUGGAGGGCAUAUUUGAGGUGCUCGCCUCCAGGUGCGGUGAAGAGAAUUCCCGCUCCUGCUCCCUGUAAUUUCAGCGAGCCAUCAAAAUACAUUCGCCACACUUCUGCAGUCUCUGGGUUAUCUGGUACUUGCUGUUCAGUCCACUCUGAUACGAAAUCAACCAGUGCUUGAGUUUUGAUGGCAGUACGAGGUCGGAAUUCGAUGUCAUGAGAUCCCAGCUCACAAGCCCACUUGGCUAUUCGGCCAAUGGCUUCCUUGUUGUGAAGAAUAUCCCCUAUCGGAAAGCCAGUGACUACUAUGACUUUGUGGUCAUCAAAGUAGUGACGUAGCUUGCGGGCAGUUAGAAGUACUACAUAUAAUAGCUUCUGAACUUGAGGAUACUUUUUCUUUGAGGGGCCUAGAACUUCACUGAUGAAAUAAACAGGAUGUUGCACUGGGUAGCCAUGUCCUUCUUCUGCUCGCUCGACUACCAACGCGGUGCUUACCACGUGGGUCGUGCAAGAGAUAUACAGUAGCAGAUCUUCAGCCGGUUGAGUUGACGUAGCUCGUCGAGGUGGCUUCAGUACUGGUGGUGUUGUCUAGAAUUUCUUCAGUGCGUCUAGAGCCUCCUGUGCCUCUGAAGUCCACUGAAACUUAUCCACCUUCUUGAGUAGCUUGUAAAAUGGUAAACCUUUUUCCCCCAGCCUGGAUAUAAAUCUGCUCAGAGCUGCCAUACAUCCAGUAAGUCGCUGAACCUUCUUUUGUGAUCGGGGUGCUUCCAUCUUCAUGAUAGCUUCAAUCUUAUCCGGAUUAGCCUCAAUUCCCCGGUGGCUGACAAUAAACCCGAGUAACUUUCCUGCUGGUACCCCGAAAACACAUUUUUCGGGAUUAAGCUUCCAUCUAUACCGUCUCAGGCUGUUGAAAAUCAGCUGUAAGUCUUCGAUGAAGUUUUCUGAAUUCUCUGUUUUGAUUACCACAUCAUCUACGUAGGCUUCCACACGCUUGCCCCAGUGAUCGGCUAAGCACGUUUGAAUGGCUCUCUGAUAAGUCGCUCCAGCGUUCUUGAGGCCGAACGGCAUGGAGGUAUAACAGAAAGCACCAAACGGAGUGAUGAACGCUGUUUUUUCCUCGUCUUCCUUCGCCAAACUAAUCUGAUGGUAUCCGGAAUAGCAAUCCAAGAAAGACAGCACAGAACAUCCAGCGGUGGAGUCCACCACCUGAUCUAUCCUUGGGAGCCCGAAGGGAUCCUUCGGACAGUGUUUGUUGAGAUCAGUAUAGUCGACGCACAUGCGGCAAUCCACUUUAUUCUUUUUGAGUACAAGAACAGGGUUGGCUAACCACUCGGGGUGUAACACCUCUCUAAUAAAUCCAGCCGCGACCAAGCGAGCUAACUCGGCGCGAAUGGCCUCUCUCUUGUCGGGCGUGAAACGACGUAGCUUUUGCGGAAUCGGCCUUGCCUGGGGAUAGACCUUCAGUUUGUGCUCGGCCAGUUCUCUUGGGACUCCCGGCAUAUCCGCAGGUUGCCAUGCGAAUACAUCUCGGUUAUCUUGCAGAAACUGGACGAGCGCGCUUUCCUAUUUGUCGUCCAGGCUGGAGCUGAUGAUGGCAGUUUUGCGUUCAUCAGCGAACCCCAGGUUGAUCCUCUUGGUUUCUUCAGUCGGCCGCAUAGAGGUCGCGGCCUGAGCUUCGUUUGCCGGUACUGCAAGGUCCUCCUCAGGCUUAGAGUUCGCCUGUGUUGAAGAAACCGUCGACGGCUUGGUGGUGAGGGCUACUUGGAUGGCCACUCGGAAACACUCUGCAGCGCCUUGGAAGUCAGCGCGCACAGUUAUGAUUCCUUGCGGUCCUGGCAUCUUCAGUAUCAUGUACGUGUAAUGUGGAAUGGCCAUGAAUUUGGCCAAUCCUGGCCUCCCGAUGAUGGUGUUGUACCCGCAGUCGAAGUUCGCCACUUCGAACCUCAGGAACUCGGUUCUGUAGUUCUCCGGAGUUCUGAAGGUGACAGGCAUGUAGAUGUGGCCCAGCGGGUAUUCCCCUUCCGUCGGCACGAUGCCGAAGAAAGGAGUGUCCGACUCAUGGAGCUCUUUGAGGUGAACUCCCAAGCCUUGGAGUGUCCGGGGGAAGGUGACGUUGAUGCUGCUUCCCCCGUCCACUAGCACCUUCUUCACCCGGCUCUCUCGGAUCACCGGAUCGACGAGGAGCGGGUAUUUGCCUGGAUGGUCGAAGUUGAGCCAUUGAUCUUCCCGAGUGAAAGUGAUCGUGUGCUCCGACCACCGGUAUGGGGCGGGAGGACCAGUGGUCGCCACUAGUAUCUGGCGGUCGUUGAGCUUUUGUUGUCUUUUGUUCUCCUGCGACCCGUGCCCACCGAAGAUGACGUUGACCUCCCUGUCAACGCGCGGGAAAGCUCCUGCUGCUCCCUCCUCCUGCUGAUGGGGUUGUCGUGGUUCAUCUGGUCCUCCCCUCGGCGGAGGAGGAGGUAGAGGUUGGAAGGGUCGGUCGUGCCCGACGGAGUGCUUGAAGUCCCGGCAGUUACGAAGAGUGUGGCGCAUGUCCUUGUGGUACGGGCAUUGGGCAUCGAGGAUGUCGUCCAGUGUGCGCUCGCCUCCGCGAGGUCCUCCUCGGGCGCGAGAGGCAGGUGGUCCGGCGGCGUGUACUUCUUCGCGAGGCCUCUUCUCCCAGCGUUUGUCGGGUUGCUGGUUCGCGUCGCGUCGUGGUGCUACCGGUGCGGGCUUUGCUCCUCCGAUGAGGUCCUGGGCCCGCUCGUCGGCGGUGAUGUAGAGGUCGGCUUCCUGGAACAGCUCCUCGGAAGUAGUCGGCGCCUUCUGUAAUAUGGCUCGGAUGAAAGCCGAGUCAUUGGAUCCUCGGUAGAAGUCCUCAAUCACGGUCGCCUCCGUGACCUCGGGGAUACGAUUUCUCAUGGUCUGGAACCUUUUGAGGUACGACCGGAGAGUUUCGUCUCCCCGGCGCUUGAUGGAUUUGAGGUCCCACGGUUGCGCCGGUUUGUCGGAGAGAGACUGGAAAUUGGCGGUGAAGCGUCGACUGAAGUCGCCCCAGUCGUCGAUGCAGUGUCCGGGUAGAUGUCGCAGCCAUUGCAGCGCGUCUUGCCCAAGGACAAUGGGUAAGUACACGGUCAUCACGUCUUCGGACGCCCCGGCAGCUCGAGCAGCGGUGGUGUAGACGGCUAGCCAACCCCCUGGAUCCUGCUUAGGUUCAUAUUUGUCGACAUUGGAUACCUUGAAGUUGGGAGGCCAUUGGAUGGCCCUGAGGCGCGGAGUCAGAGCAGACACUCCGCAUGUGUCCUCCUGUCGUCGGGGAUGAUGUCUGUCCCGGGGAGGGGAGUAGUUGUUGUGGUUCCUCGACCGUCCCCGGGUAGUACCGCCAGUUGAGGCCGUUGUCGACUCAGUUCUGGUGCCCUGGCUCCGAGCUGGGAUGCCAUGAUCCCUGUCGUACUCCUCCCGGCGGCGGGUCUCGUUCUCAUGCCGCCGUUCACGCGAAGCAUUGAUGGAGCUUCGCGCGUCCCGGCGAAUGUUGAUGGCGUGUCGUAGAUCGUUCGGCGGGUGAGCAAGCGGUAGAAGAUGGUUGGCCGCCUGGGUGAACAGUCGUCGGUAGCCCUCGGCGUCGGGAGUCCGAGGGAGUCCAUCAGCUAUCCGAGCUAGUACUCCUCCGACUUCGCUCGGCGUAUUCAUGGCUCGGGCGAAGUCGGGGUUCAGGUUGCGCCCGAAGAAUGGAUUCUCCCGACGUUGCCUUGCAUCUUGCUCGGCUUGUUCCUGAGCCCGGCGGUGAUCACGUCGUCGGGAGUUCCUUCGUUCUCUGAAGACGCGUUCUUCCGGAGUUUCUCCUAUCUCCGAGACCUCGUCUCGCAAGACAGGUUGCUCCGGAUCCCGUUCUCCGGCCGCGUGAUGUCGUCGAAUGUUCCUGCGCCGGUUCCUCCGUCGGCGGGAUUCUCGUUGAGGCGGUUCUUCUCCGAGUGCGGUCGGCUCGUCGUCGGAGACGGUGGGCGACUCCACUCUCCCGAUGAAGAGGACGUCGGGGUAGAAUGGUGCUGCUGUCGUGGCGACCUUCUUUCCGUUCUCCUUUGAGAGCGGAGGAACGGAAAGAACAACUUGCUUCCCCUUGGUCUCCUUCUUCCUCGCGAUCUGUGUCCAUUCUUUUGUCGGGGAAGUAGACAGUGGAGUUCUCCGGGUCAGCGGGCCCUCGGCCCCUGACUUUCCGAAGACGAUCUUUUUCCAGAGAGCUGGAGGUUGCGCUUCUCCAACAUUUUCAGAGUUUGUUGGAGGAGACUUCUUUUCCGGCGGAUCCGCAAUGCGGUGUAGAGUUCUGUCGGCGUUUCGAGACAGGGGGGUCCCUAAGCCGACGAGUUAGUGUGCUGCGUGCCCCAGCCCAGAUGGGUCGAGCGCGUGGGCGAGCGCGAAGGGGGGAGAGGCGAGGUGGCCGGAGUCGAGUGUGAGAGAGGUGGAAGUCCCGCGACCUUCGUGUUCGUCCCGCGCCCAGGUCAGGUGCGCUUGCAGUAGGGGGGUUACAAGCGUCCACGCGGGUGAGGGAAGCGAGCGGCCCCAAGAGAGCGCCUGUCCCGUCCUCGGUCCCGCGCGGCCAACCUCCUCUAAGAAGGCCCUGGUCCUCCCUUUUAUAGUCGUAAGGAUAGGAUCCAGGUGUACAAUGGGGGGUGUAGCAGAGUGCUACGUGUCUAGCGGAGCGAGAGCUAGCGCCCUAGGUACAUGCCAAUGUGGCAGCCGGAGAGAUCUGGGCACCCUGCUGGCGUGAUGUCGUGGCUGUCGGAGGUGCGGCGGAGCCUGGCGGAGGGACAGCUGUUGGAGCGGUCGAGUCCCUGCUGACGUCGUCCUGCUUCCGUAAGAGAGCUGGGGGCCGCCGUCGUCAUAGAGCUUGUGGAGCGCCAUCAUUGCCCCUCCGGCGGAGCUGGCCGGAUGGGACGCCGGUCUUGUUCUCCGUGACCCGAGUCGAUUCGGGGUAGGAUGAUGAUGGCGCUUCCUGUUGACGUGGCGGUCUGUGCCCUAGGCAGGGCGACGUGGGGGUUCCUCCGAAGCCGAGGUUGAGUCUGUCUUCCGUUGCCGUGGCCGAGCCCGAGCCAAGGGGUCGGGCGAGGCGGAAGUCGUUCGGCCGAGGCCAGGGCGGAGUCCGAGCCCUGGGGUCGGGCGAAGCGGAGUUUCGUCAUCUUCCGGGUGUUAGCCCGAGUCCGAGCCCUGGGGUCGGGCGGAGCGGAGUUCGCCGUCUUUCGGGUCUUAGCCCGAGUCCGAGCCCUGGGGUCGGGCGGAGCGGAGUUCGCCGUCUUCCGGGUCUUAGCCCGAGUCCGAGCCCUGGGGUCGGGUGGAGCGGAGUUCGCCGUCUUUCGGGUCUUAGCCCGAGUCCGAGCCCUGGGGUCGGGCGGAGCGGAGUUCGCCGUCUUCCGGGUCUUAGCCCGAGUCCGAGCCCUGGGGUCGGGCGGAGCGGAGUUCGCCGUGGCGCCUUUGGCAAGGCCUGACUGCCUGUCAGACUCACUCUGUCGAGUGGCACUGCAGUCGGAGUGGCGCAGGCGGCGCUGUCCUUCUGUCAGACUGGCCAGUGGAGCGGUGGAGUGACGGCGGUCACUUCGGCUCUGCCGGGGGCGCGUGUCAGGAUAAAGGUGUCAGGCCACCUUUGCGUUAAAUGCCCCUGCAAUUUGGUCAGUCGGUGUGGCGAUUUAGUCAAGGUUGCUUCUGAGCGAAGCCAAGGCCUCGGGCGAGCCGGUGAUGUGUCCGCCAUAAAAGGGGGGCCUCGGGCGAGACGGAAGUCUCUCGAGGUCGGCUGCCCUUGGCCGAGGCUAGGCUCGGGUGAAGCGUGAUCGAGUCACUCGUGUGGACUGAUCCCUGACUUAAUCGUACCCAUCAGGCCUUUGCAGCUUUAUGCUGAUGGGGGUUACCAUCUGAGAAUUAGGCGUCUUGAGGGUACCCCUAAUUAUGGUCCCCGACAGUAGCCCCCGAGCCUCAAAGGGAGUGUUAGCACUCGCUUGGAGGCUUUUGUCGCACUUUUUUGCAAGGGGACCAGCCUUUCUCGGUUGCAUUUCGUUCCGGUGGGUGCGCGCGAGCGCACCCGCCGGGUGUAGCCCCCGAGGCCUCGGAGGAGUGGUUACACUCCUUCGAGGUCUUAAUACCUCGCGUAACGCUUCGGCUGGUCUGGUCGUUCCCUCAUGCGAACUGGCCGUAGCCCGGGUGCACGGUCGGGGCCCAAGCUCUCGGGCUGGUAUGUUGACGCUGUCAACGAUUUGGCCGGAGCCGGUUUUUGCGAGAGCAGCCCCCGAGCCUCUGCACAGGGCGAGAGGACGAUCAGGGACAGACUCGACUUUUUACAUACGCCCCUACGUCGCCUUUCCGCAAGGAGGAGGGGGGAGUGCGCCAUGUUACCCUCGAUGGGCACCGAACAUGGUGUCUCCGGUGAGCUGCAAGCGGGUAAUCCGAGUGGACGUCCGUGCCCCGUUCGUUGGGGGUCGGCUAGGGGCCCAGAGGCACGCCCAAAAGUACCUGCGGGUGAUUUGCCGGACCCGGUCCCCUGGCGACGGGGUCCGAGGGCUCGAUGCCUCCCUCCGAUGGGAUUCCGUUACAAGAUCGUUCCCGCUGGUCUCGGAAAUGUCCUAGGGUACCUCGGGAGCGCAGCCCGAGCCUUGGUUAUGUAUCGAACGUACCCCUGGUCAUCCCUCGCUCGGUGUCUGAGGCGACUGUGAACCCUUCGGGGGCCAGCCUUCGAACCCCUGAUCAGUAAUGGGCGCGGAGCCCGAGUAGCCUGAGGCAGCCAUGGAACCCUUCGGGGGGCUGGCCUUCGAACCCCUGACCAGUAGUGGGUGUCGGGCCCACGCGAUCUGAGGCGGCUGUUGAACCCUUCGGAGGGCCAGCCUUCGAACCCCUGAUCAGUAGUGGGGGGCUCGGAGCCCGGUUCCUUCGCGGAGAAGGAUCCCUUUCGGGGUAUCCUCCUUUCCCGGUCCCUGUUGCAAGAGAUAGAGAAAGAGGAAAACGGAAAAGGAUACGAAAUCGGACGACGUGGCGUACCUUUUCUGACGCGGUUAUUAUGGCGAAGGUGAAGCGUCGCGCGCUCCUCCCGUCAGAGACGCCGCCUGUCCCGCCGCGGAGUUAAUGCGACGGGGCGAGUGGUUGGCGGGGUGGCCGUUGCGCGCGUGCGAUCCGUUCGAGGAACGGGUCACGGGUGCACCGUCUCCACGCCGUGAGAGGAGGCUCUCUUGUUGUCCCAGGAUGGGACGUGAGCCUGGCUGACGACGUGACCGCUGCGCCCGCCCGCCUGCCACCGCUAUUACAGCCGGCCCACUUUCGGUCGCUUUGACCGAUGCGCCAGGCUGGCGCUGUUGGGUCGCCUCGAGUCGCGGCAUAGGCUCCGCAACCGAAGAGGCGCGAUGGUGGCACAAGUGGCGGUGCGGUUGCUUGCAUGCAGCAACUGGCGCGCCGGUUGCUCGACACGUGGGCCUGGGUUCCCAAGCUGGCGUGUCAGAAGUCGGAGAAGCGCGUCCGUCUGGCGCGAUUGCAUGCCGCCUGCAUGGCUGCCCGCCCCUUCUGCCCGUUGGUCUGGGCGAAAAUGGGGGUCGCUUGUAACCGCUGGACGGUCGUGCGCACCACGCGCGGCGGUUUGGCUUCUUCUGCCCUGAGCUGGUUUGUAUGACAUGCGGGACCCAGCCUCCGAGUCGCAGGGGAGGGCCUUGGAGCGUGUUGGAGAAGACUCAGCCCGCGGCGCCUGGGGGCGCACGUAGGGAGAGUUGCCUUUAAAAGGAGGGAGACUCCUUUCGGAAGGCAACCAUGUCUUCUUCCUCCCUUAAGCGUCGUGUCUUCCCAUCUUCCAAGCCCCCGGAUGGGGGGUAUCCGCCGCCUUUCCGCCUCCUCGUUGGAGGAACGCAACUCCAUGGGAGUUGGUACCUCUCAGCCAUCGUUCGGCUUCAAAAAUUCGACGCAGAGGGGGUCUCCCCCCUUUUAGCCCCCGAGGGAGGGUCGGGCUUUGCCGAGGCUAGGUCGGCCCUUCCUUGACGACUAAACUUUGCGUAGGUGCGAGGUAUAUGAACAACUUGAAAACAUCUUAAGGGUAGAAGCGACGUAGCUGUUCGAUGUUCCAAGCGUUGCCGUAGAUCUCGCCUUGAUUGUUGGCCAGCUUGUAUGUUCCGGGCUUCAGAACUUUGGCGAUGACGAAUGGCCCUUCCCAGGGGGGCGUGAGCUUGUGCCUCCCUCGGGCGUCUUGUCGCAGCCGAAGCACCAGAUCGCCCACCUGGAGUUCUCGGGACCGGACCCCUCGGGCGUGGUAGCGUCGCAGGGACUGUUGGUACCGCGCCGAGUGUAGUAAGGCCCUGUCCCGAGCUUCCUCCAGCUGGUCCAGCGAUUCCUCUCGGCUAGCUUGGUUGCUUUGUUCGGUGUAGGCCCUCGCCCUCGGGGAGCCGUAUUCCAGGUCGGUGGGCAAGAUAGCUUCUGCCCCGUAGACCAGGAAAAACGGCGUGAAGCCCGUGGCACGACUCGGCGUCGUCCUUAGGCUCCAGACCACCGAGGGGAGUUCCUUCAUCCAUCGCUUGCCGAACUUGUUGAGGUCGUUGUAGAUCCGAGGCUUGAGCCCUUGUAGAAUCAUGCCGUUGGCACGCUCUACCUGCCCAUUCGACAUGGGAUGAGCCACGGCGGCCCAGUCCACCCGGAUAUGGUGAUCCUCGCAAAAAUCCAAGAAUUUUUUGCCGGUGAACUGGGUGCCGUUGUCGGUGAUGAUGGAGUUCGGGACCCCGAAGCGAUGGAUGAUGUUGGUGAAGAACGCCACCGCCUGCUCGGACCUGAUGCUGUUCAGAGGUCGGACCUUGAUCCAUUUGGAGAAUUUGUCGAUGGCGACCAGCAGGUGCGUGUAGCCCCCGGGCGCCUUCUGCAAGGGACCAACGAGGUCCAGACCCCAUACAGCGAAGGGCCAGGUGAUGGGUAUUGUCUGCAGAGCUUGAGCGGGCAGGUGUGUCCGCUUCGCAUAGAAUUGGCACCCUUCGCAGGUGCGGACAAUUCUAGAGGCGUCAGCCACCGCCGUUGGCCAGUAGAAGCCUUGCCGGAAAGCAUUUCCGACAAGGGCUCGGGGCGCUGCGUGGUGGCCGCAAGCCCCCGAGUGUAUUUCUUGCAGCAGUUCCCGACCCUCGGCGAUGGAGAUGCAUCGCUGGAGGAUGCCCGAGGGGCUGCGAUGGUAGAGCUCCUCUUCGUCGCCCAGCAAGACGAAUGACUUGGCGCGUCGCGCUACCCGCCGAGCCUCGACUUGGCCGAGGGGUAGCUCUCCUCGACGGAGAUAUUGCAGGUACGGGGCCUGCCAAUCUUGAUCUGGCGUGGCCCCGCUCUGCCCUUCCUCGACGUUCAGCGCCUCGCCCUCGGGGGCCGAGGGUACCUCGGGCUAUGCCGAGGGUACCUCGGGCUGAGCCGAGGGUACCUCGGGCUCGGGCGCGUCGUCGAGCUUGACGGAGGGUUGAUGCAGAUCCCGGGAGAAGACGUCCGGGGGGACUGUCGUUCGCCCCGAGGCUAUCUUAGCCAGCUCGUCUGCGGUUUCGUUGUAGCGCCGAGCGAUGUGGUUGAGCUCGAGCCCGAAGAACUUGUCUUCCAGGCGCCGAACCUCGUCGCAGUAGGCCUCCAUCUUCGGGUCGCGGUAGUGGGAGUUCUUCAUGACUUGGUCGAUGACGAGCUGCGAAUCACCGCGGGCGUCGAGGCGUCUGACCCCUAGCUCGAUGGCGAUCCGCAAUCCGUUGACCAGAGCUUCGUACUCGGCCACAUUGUUGGACGCCGGGAAAUGGAGGCGCAGCACGUAGUGCAAGUGCUUUCCGAGGGGCGAGAUGAAGAGCAGGCCCGCGCCGGCCCCCGUCUUCAUCAGCGACCCGUCGAAAAACAUGGUCCAGAGCUCCGGUUGGAUCGGAGUCGUUGGCAGCUGGGUGUCGACCCAUUCGGCCACGAAAUCCGCCAACACCUGGGACUUGAUGGCCUUCCGAGGGGCGAACGAGAUCGUUUCGCCCAUGAUUUCCACCGCCCACUUUGCGAUCCUGCCCGAGGCCUCUCGGCACUGGAUGAUCUCCCCCAGGGGGAAGGAUGACACCAUAGUUACCGGAUGAGACUCGAAGUAGUGUCGCAGCUUCCGCCUUGUCAGGAUCACAGCAUACAGCAGCUUUUGAACUUGUGGGUAGCGGAUCUUAGUCUCGGACAGCACUUCGCUGAUGAAGUAGACCGGCCUCUGAACGGGCAAUGCAUGCCCUUCCUCUUGCCUUUCGACCACAAUCGCGGCGCUAACCACCUGAGUGGUCGCGGCGACGUAGACCAAGAGGGCUUCUCCGUCCGCCGGGGGCACCAAGACAGGCGCCUUUGUAAGGAGCGCCCUCAGGUUGCCGAGGGCUUCCUCGGCCUCAGGGGUCCAAGCGAAACACUCGGCCUUCCUUAAGAGGCGGUACAGAGGCAGACCUCUUUCGCCGAGGCGUGAGAUGAAGCGGCUCAGGGCCGCGAGGCAUCCCAUGACCCUCUGUACCCCUUUUAAGUCCUUGAUGGGUCCCAUGCUGGUGAUGGCCGCGAUCUUCUCCGGGUUGGCUUCGAUGCCUCGCUCGGAGACGAUGAACCCUAGGAGCAUGCCUCGGGGCACCCCGAAGACACACUUCUCAGGAUUAAGCUUGACUCCUUUCGCCUUGAGACACCGGAAUGUCACUUCAAGGUCGGAGAGGAGGUCGGAAGCCUUCCUUGUCUUGACUACGAUGUCAUCGACGUAGGCCUCGACUGUGCGACCGAUGUGUUCGCCGAACACAUGGUUCAUGCAUCGCUGGUACGUCGCGCCCGCAUUCCUCAAACCGAAUGGCAUGGUGACAUAGCAGUACAUGCCGAACGGCGUGAUGAAAGAAGUCGCGAGCUGGUCGGACUCUUUCAUCCGGAUCUGGUGAUACCCUGAGUAGGCAUCGAGGAAGGACAGGGUUUCGCACCCAGCGGUGGAAUCCACGAUUUGGUCGAUGCGAGGCAGAGGGUAGGGAACCUUCGGACAUGCUUUGUUGAGACCAGUGUAGUCUACACACAUCCGCCAUUUCCCCCUUUUCUUCCUCACAAGCACAGGGUUGGCAAGCCAUUCGGGAUGGAAUACCUCUUUGAUGAACCCUGCUGCCAUUAGCUUGUGGAUCUCUUCGCCAAUCACUCUGCGCUUCUCCUCGUCGAAUCGGCGCAGAGGCUGCCUGACGGGUCGGGCUCCGGCCCGAAUAUCCAGCGAGUGCUCGGCGACAUCCCUCAGUAUGUCGGGCAUGUCUGAGGGACUCCACGCAAAGACGUCGGUGUUUGCGCGGAGAAAGUCAACGAGCACUGCUUCCUAUUUGGGGUCGAGCCCGGAACCGAUCCGGACCUGCUUGGUGGUGUCGCCACUGGGGUCGAGAGGGACGGCCUUGACCGUCUCCGCUUGGCUCGAAGUUGCCGGCAUGGCGCUUCACGUCUGGCACCUCCUUGGAGAGGUUCUCCAGGUCGGCGAUGAGGGCCUCGGACUCGGCGAGGGCCUCGGCAUACUCCACGCACUCCACAUCGCAUUCGAACGCGUGUUUGUACGUGGGGCCGACGGUGAUGACCCCGUUGGGGCCCGGCAUCUUGAGCAUCUUGUCGAAGAGGUUUGCACCUCCGGGGGGCUUCCGAGGGUUCUUAUACUCGGCGGCGGCGACAAGGUCCGCGUCAGCGGCAUCGCGUUUCGAUUGCGACUUCUUCUUGCCUUUCUUCUUGGCGCCGCGUGGAGCAGACGCCUCGGGAGCUCCUUCCGAUGGGCAGCCCUGGGGCUGCUUGUCCUUUCGGAAGAUAGCCUCGACCGCCUCCUGGCUAAAGGCGAACUUGGUGGCGAUGUCCAUCAGCUCGCUCGCCCUGGUGGGGGUUUUGCGACCCAGCUUGCUCACCAGGUCGCGGCAAGUGGUGCCGGCGAGGAACGCGCCGAUGACAUCCGAGUCGGUGAUGUUGGGCAGCUCGGUGCGCUGCUUCGAGAAUCGCCGGAUGUAGUCCCGGAGCGACUCCCCCGGCUGUUGCCGGCAGCUUCGAAGGUCCCAGGAAUUCCCGGGGCGCAUGUAUGUGCCCUGGAAAUUGCCAGCGAAGGCUUGGACCAAGUCGUCCCAGUUGGAGAUCUGCCCCGGAGGCAGGUGCUCCAACCAGGCGCGAGCAGUGUCGGAGAGGAACAGGGGGAGGUUACGGAUGAUGAGGUUGUCGUCGUCCGUUCCACCCAGUUGGCAGGCAAGGCGGUAGUCCGCGAGCCACAGUUCCGGUCUCGUUUCCCCCGAGUACUUCGUGAUAGUAGUCGGGGGUCGGAACCGGGUCGGGAAUGGCGCCCGUCGGAUGGCCCGACUGAAGGCCUGCGGACCGGGUGGUUCGGGCGAGGGACUCCGAUCCUCCCCGCUGUCGUAGCGCCCCCCACGCCUGGGGUGGUAGCCUCGGCGCACCCUUUCGUCGAGGUGAGCCCGACGGUCGCGUCGAUGGUGCUCGUUGCCGAGGUGGCCCGGGGCCGCAGGCGCGGUGUUGCGCGUGCGCCCGGUGUAGACCGAGGCUUCCCGCAUGAAUCGGGAAGUCGCGGCAUGAGGUUCCGAGGGAUAUCCUUGCCUUCGGGAGGCAGUGCUCUCGGCCCGUCGGGCCGCAGCGCCUUCCAGGAGAUUCUUGAGUUCCCCCUGGAUUCGCCGACCCUCGGUGGUUGACGGCUCCGGCAUCGCGCGGAUGAGCAUUGCUGCGGUUGCCAGGUUCUGACCAACCCCGCUGGAUGCGGGCGGCGGCCUGAUCCUGACAUCGUUGGCGACGCGGUGCUGGAGACCUUGGGGCAGGUGACGUAUUUCUCCGGCCAGGGGUUGGCCCACCCAUGCCUGUCCGACGUCCCGACGGAUCGGCUCAAGCGCUCCUGUUCCCUCGUUGAGCCUGGCCUGCGCCUCGCGGACUUGCUCGAGUUGUGGGUCGUAACCCCCCGCCGGAGCGGGGACCACAGCUAGCUCCCGUGGGAUGUCGGCGCGAGGCACCGGCCUAGGGAGAUCACCGUCCUCCGGCAUGCCAAGAUGGUUGCCUUCGGAGGGAUCCCCUAGCUCGAUGUGGAAACAUUCGCGGCUUGGGCCGCAGCUCUCGUCGCCAAGGCUGCGGCUUCCAUCGGAACAGUCGGAUAGGCAGUAGUCACAUGCGGUCAUGAAGUCUCGCACGGCACUGGGGUUGCCAAGUCCGGAGAAAUCCCAUCCGAUGCUGGGAUCGUCAUCUUCCUCGGACCCAGAGGGCCCGUAGGUCGAGACGUCCAUCAGUCGGUCCCAAGGCGACCGCAUACGGAACCUCAGUGGGGUUGCACUCGCCUCAAUGCGAGCGCCCGCCAAAACGAGGUCGUUUGGCGGGUUGAGGCCGAGUCGAAAUAACGCAAGAUGGGAGUUAGUCGGUACCUUUUGGUCGACGAGGAGCGACGUAGUCACAUCGAGGACUGGUUGCACCGUCUUCUCUGGUUCGAGGGCGACGUCCUGCAGGCUUUCCGCGAGCGCGCCGGCGUCGUCUUCUUGCUCGGGGUCAGCGUGCCGCGGGGGGACGGCGCUUGCCCCCGUUUUGAACGCGAGGUCGACGUCCGGCGUGCCUUCCGUCGGGGCGUCGGGGCGUCGAUUCGCUCGACGACCGACGAAGCGCGGCCUCCCACCUGGCCUUGACGGCCCCGCCUCCUCCUCCGUUGGCGGGGGAGAGAACGGAGCGAGCCCGAAUGUUGCCUUUCCACCACGCGGGGAAGACGUCGUCGAUUCCGCCGCCGGCGGGCGGGUUGUCGGCCGCCAUUGUCGUAGUCGCGCGGCGGUGGAAGAAGUAUCAUGUCGUAGCUGCCGUCGAAGGACAUGAACUCAAGAGUCCCGAAACGAAGCACCGUCCCGGGCCGGAGAGGUUGCUGGAGACUGCCCAUCUGGAGCUUGACGGGGAGCUGUUCGUCAGCACGCAGCGUGCCCCUACCUGGCGCGCCAACUGUCGGCGUUUCGAGACAGGGGGGUCCCUAAGCCGACGAGUGAGUGUGUUGCGUGCCCCAGCCCAGAUGGGUCGAGCGCGUGGGCGAGCGCGAAGGGGGGAGAGGCGAGGUGGCCGGAGUCGAAUGUGAGAGAGGUGGAAGUCCCGCGGCCUUCGUGUUCGUCCCGCGCCCAGGUCAGGUGCGCUUGCAGUAGGGGGGUUACAAGCGUCCACGCGGGUGAGGGAAGCGAGCGGCCCCAAGAGAGCGCAUGUCCCGUCCUCGGUCCCGCGCGGCCAACCUCCUCUAAGAAGGCCCUGGUCCUCCCUUUUAUAGUCGUAAGGAGAGGAUCCAGGUGUACAAUGGGGGGUGUAGCAGAGUGCUACGUGUCUAGCGGAGGGAGAGCUAGCGCCCUAGGUACAUGCCAAUGUGGCAGCCGGAGAGAUCUGGGCACCCUGCUGGCGUGAUGUCGUGGCUGUCGGAGGUGCGGCGGAGCCUGGCGGAGGGACAGCUGUUGGAGCGGUCGAGUCCCUGCUGACGUCGUCCUGCUUCCGUAAGAGAGCUGGGGGCCGCCGUCGUCAUAGAGCUUGUGGAGCGCCAUCAUUGCCCCUCCGGCGGAGCUGGCCGGAUGGGACGCCGGUCUUGUUCUCCGUGACCCGAGUCGAUUCGGGGUAGGAUGAUGAUGGCGCUUCCUGUUGACGUGGCGGUCUGUGCCCUAGGCAGGGCGACGUGGGGGUUCCUCCGAAGCCGAGGUUGAGUCUGUCUUCCGUUGCCGUGGCCGAGCCCGAGCCAAGGGGUCGGGCGAGGCGGAAGUCGUUCGGCCGAGGCCAGGGCGGAGUCCGAGCCCUGGGGUCGGGCGAAGCGGAGUUUCGUCAUCUUCCGGGUGUUAGCCCGAGUCCGAGCCCUGGGGUCGGGCGGAGCGGAGUUCGCCGUCUUUCGGGUCUUAGCCCGAGUCCGAGCCCUGGGGUCGGGCGGAGCGGAGUUCGCCGUCUUCCGGGUCUUAGCCCGAGUCCGAGCCCUGGGGUCGGGCGGAGCGGAGUUCGCCGUCUUCCGGGUCUUAGCCCGAGUCCGAGCCCUGGGGUCGGGCGGAGCGGAGUUCGCCGUCUUCCGGGUCUUAGCCCGAGUCCGAGCCCUGGGGUCGGGCGGAGCGGAGUUCGCCGUGGCGCCUUUGGCAAGGCCUGACUGCCUGUCAGACUCACUCUGUCGAGUGGCACUGCAGUCGGAGUGGCGCAGGCGGCGCUGUCCUUCUGUCAGACUGGCCAGUGGAGCGGUGGAGUGACGGCGGUCACUUCGGCUCUGCCGGGGGCGCGUGUCAGGAUAAAGGUGUCAGGCCACCUUUGCGUUAAAUGCCCCUGCAAUUUGGUCAGUCGGUGUGGCGAUUUAGUCAAGGUUGCUUCUGAGCGAAGCCAAGGCCUCGGGCGAGCCGGUGAUGUGUCCGCCAUAAAAGGGGGGCCUCGGGCGAGACGGAAGUCUCUCGAGGUCGGCUGCCCUUGGCCGAGGCUAGGCUCGGGUGAAGCGUGAUCGAGUCACUCGUGUGGACUGAUCCCUGACUUAAUCGUACCCAUCAGGUCUUUGCAGCUUUAUGCUGAUGGGGGUUACCAGCUGAGAAUUAGGCGUCUUGAGGGUACCCCUAAUUAUGGUCCCCGACAAGUUCCCUCUUCAUCUGCUACGGAUGAGAUUGUUCUGAAGCAGAAUACGGAUCCGGGACGGAGGGUGAUCUUGUUGUGGAAGGUGACGGCCAUUGAGCUAGCUUGGAACGUCGACACACCCCCUACCUGGCGUGCCAGCUGUCGGUGUUUUGGGUCCGACCGCACACCCGGGGUUGCCCCUCAAGGUGUUUUUAAGAGUAGGACAGUGUCGACGACUGUAGCAAAAUGGUUCGUGCCAAUUGCACGAGGGACAGUGGACAAGGUUUACAGGUUCGGGCCGCUUAGAGACGCGUAACACCCUACGUCCUGGUGAGUAUGCUGAGUAAAUGAGGUUACAAGAGAGCUCUCUGAAUUGAGAAUGCAGAGAGUUGAAGUGGGUGACUAAGUAAUAGGGUCGAUCGUUCUGAAGGGGUGCCCUCUAGGCCUUAUAUACUCGACCGUGGGGCAAUACACGUGGAUAUGAUAACAAUGUGUAGCUAAAAGAUAGUGAACUGUUUGAGUUUAUCUCCUUGUAGUUCUGCCGACUUAUCCUCGCAUGGCUCCGUUGCAUGGGGGCUCCAGCGCGGGAAAGUCGAAUCUCUGUUGUGGUCGCUUGCUCGACGUUGUGGGCCAUCCGGGUUUGCACCAAUCCGGCCCCAUGUCGAUCUGCUUUGCUGGUUGUCCCUCCCCAGGCCCACGAAAGAAUGACCUUACGAUUUAUUGGGCCCUUGGGCCUUUCGUGAGGUCUUUUACUCUUUUAGUGGACCCGGGGGAUAUCUAUCCCCCACAGGGUGAAUGUUUGAAACCUAAAAAUUAAUCACUUACAACAAAAAUUGAUCACAAAUUAGUCAUUUAGAGCAAGAGGUACAAUAAAUGGAGUUGAAGAGAGGAGUUUUUCUUGCAAUGUGUUGCUCAAAUGAGUGCAGAAUAAACUUAGGGAGCAACACUUAAGGAUUUGAAUGAAGAUCAAAGCAGGAGAACGUUAGAGAGGAAGAGGGGAAACAAAUCGCAAACAAUCAAACACAAAGACACGAGGAUUUGUUUAUCGGAGUCAGAUUCUAAACAAAAUCUACGUCUCCGUUGAGGGGUCCUAAGGGACCAGGUCUCUUUCAACCCUUUCAAGUGAUUCCAAAGAUCAAACUUAAGUCCUCUCACUUUUCUUGAUUGAGAGACUUAAAUCUCCGUGAGGUAUGUCACACACAUCAAAGCCUCUCGCUAGCUUUACAAUGGAUGGGAGUCAAAACUCCAAACACAAGAUCACAGCACACAAUCUCCUCUAAGUCACUCUCACAAGGCACGAUCACAAUUCUAACGAGAACGGCUAUUGCUUGCUUGAUUCUCACUAUUGUGACACUUGGGAGGCUUUUUAUCACUUGGAGUGUUGCUAUUAAAUGUAGCAAUGAGUGCUCAACUCUUGGGUAUUGAAUGGGCUAGUUGGGGUGUAUCUAUAGCCCCAACCACCCAAAUAGUCGUUGGGGAUUAAAACGUUUACAACCAUAUUCUAUACUUGCUAGAGAUGUUAUGAUUGUCCAUGUGUCUACUAUAUCUUCAUAAUCCACUUUCAAUCUAGCUAGUAGGGUGCUCGAGCAGCGGCGACGACGAUUGACAACAAACAUGGUGGAGGUGCUCUCUUGCAUCAAAGACUGGGAAUUGGCUAACCAACACAAGCAACACACUGUGGAGAAGAAAACCAAGGAACUUGAAUCGGCUUUUGAAGCUACGUACCUAGAUGAUGAGCAACAAGUAUCACCAGGGAGCAAGAGAAAGGAGGGAGGAUCUGCAGCAGGUAGCAUUAAUAAGAAGGACAAGUCACUUGUUCUUGAACAAAGAGGGAGGAGCAGCAAGGAACCAUUACCAGGAAGUUCUAGUGCCAAACAAGCUUGAAAUGCUUCUGGUUUUACAUCUAUUUAUGUUUUUUUGUAUAAUAUCUAUGGACAUGUACUGUGAACUGUACUACGAACUUUAUAAGGAGUUGGGUGUACUCUUUUUCUUCCUAGGUUUUCUCACGAGGUAUGAGUUUUUACCUAGGAAGGUUUUUAAUAAGGUAUCAUUGCACUAAGGCUCCAAAUUAAUUAUCUAUUUGGCUAAUUGUCCUGUUCUGUGAUAAAUGUUGAAAUGAUUGUCUUAUGUAGUACAAUGAAAUUUUGAGAUGCAUUGUGUGUAUAAUUCUGUGUUUUCUGUAUAAUUAUGUGAUUUUGUAUUUCUAUUCAUGGUCCGGACUCGGCACGUCAUUGCCGGGCUAACCGUACUCUCGAUCCGGCCCGGCCCACGAAGAUGUUGGCGUGUCGGGUCUAGGCUGCCAGUUUAGCCCGCGUGUUACCCUGACUCGACACGGGAGCGAUAUUCGUGUCGUGCCUGUAUACAGUGCCGACACGCAUAGUUAAAUAUGUAUAGUGGCGAUGAACACGAGCACAAGGGAGAGGAUGAGCGCGGACACGAGUGGAGGUGGAGCCUGAAUGCCAGAACUGGGUUGGUCGUCGUCAGGGUCAGUGCCCAUGGCCUCGAGCAGGAUCACAACCAUCAACGGCAGCAGCGUCAGCGUCACCAGGGGCCAGGGGUGAUGAGGUAGUGGUAUUCCAGCUUGACGUACUUGAGGUUCACCCUGUGGAGGAAGUCC
This 27261-nucleotide long non-coding RNA is filed under the name Zea mays. RNAcentral describes it as "long non-coding RNA (ZMAY_LNC000810)". Lineage: Eukaryota; Viridiplantae; Streptophyta; Magnoliopsida; Poales; Poaceae. The record is from RNAcentral.